Molecule: ribosomal RNA, 222 nt
Filed under: uncultured bacterium
Lineage: Bacteria
Description: partial 16S ribosomal RNA
Rfam family: Bacterial small subunit ribosomal RNA
Source: RNAcentral
AUUGAACGCUGGCGGCAUGCCUUACACAUGCAAGUCGAACGGCAGCACGGGGGCAACCCUGGUGGCGAGUGGCGAACGGGUGAGUAAUACAUCGGAACGUGCCCCGUAGCGGGGACAACCAGUCGAAAGACUGGCUAAUACCGCAUACGCUCCACGGAGGAAAGCAGGGGAUCGCAAGACCUUGCACUAUGGGAGCGGCCGAUGCCCGAUUAGCUAGUUGGU